RNAcentral lists this ribosomal RNA (1553 nucleotides) under uncultured bacterium. Its description in RNAcentral is "bacterial SSU rRNA". It matches the Rfam family "Bacterial small subunit ribosomal RNA". The record is from RNAcentral.
GAGUUUGAUCCUGGCUCAGAUUGAACGCUGGCGGCAGGCCUAACACAUGCAAGUCGAGCGGGGUUUUCGGACCUAGCGGCGGACGGGUGAGUAAUGCGUAGGGAGCUGCCCGAUAGAGGGGGAUACCAGUUGGAAACGACUGUUAAUACCGCAUAAUGUCUACGGACCAAAGUGUGGGACCUUCGGGCCACAUGCUAUCGGAUGCGCCUACGUGGGAUUAGCUAGUUGGUGAGGUAAUGGCUCACCAAGGCGACGAUCUCUAGCUGGUUUGAGAGGAUGAUCAGCCACACUGGAACUGAGACACGGUCCAGACUCCUACGGGAGGCAGCAGUGGGGAACAUUGGACAAUGGGCGCAAGCCUGAUCCAGCCAUGCCGCGUGUGUGAAGAAGGCCUUCGGGUUGUAAAGCACUUUCAGCGAGGAGGAAGGGAUGUAUGUUAAUAGCAUGCAUUUUGACGUUACUCGCAGAAGAAGCACCGGCUAAUCUCUGUGCCCCAGCCAACGCCGCCGGUAAUAUCACAGAGGGGUUGCCAAUGUCGGUUUAAAUCCGGAAUUUACCUGGGCGUGUAAAGCUGCGCCACCGUAAGGCCGGUUUUUUUAAGUUCAGAAUGUGAAAGGCCCCGGGCUUCAACCUGGGAAUUUGCAUUUGAAACUGGGGAACUAGAGUGUGUGAGAGGGGGGUAGAAUUCCAAGCGUAGCGGUGAAAUGCGUAGAGAUUUGGAGGAAUACCAGUGGCGAAGGCGGGCCCCCUGGGCACAACACUGACGCUCAGGUGCGAAAGCGUGGGGGAGCAAACAGGAUUAGAUACCCUGGUAGUCCAACGCCGUAAACGAUGUCUACUAGCUGUUCGUGUCCUUGUGAUGUGAGUAGCGCAGCUAACGCACUAAGUAGACCGCCUGGGGAGUACGGUCGCAAGAUUAAAACUCAAAUGAAUUGACGGGGGCCCGCACAAGCGGUGGAGCAUGUGGUUUAAUUCGACGCAACGCGAAGAACCUUACCUACUCUUUGACAUCUACGGAAGACUGCAGAGAUGCGGUUGUGCCUUUCGGGAACCGUAAGACAGGUGCUGCAAUGGCUGUCGUCAGCUCGUGUUUGUGAAAUGUUGGGUUAAGUCCCGCAACGAGCGCAACCCCUAAUUCCUAUAGUGUUGUGCCAGCGAGUUAAGUCGGGAACUCUAGGGAGACUGCCGGUGAUAAACCGGAGGAAGGUGGGGACGACGUCAAGUCAUCAUGGCCCUUACGAGUAGGGCUACACACGUGCUACAAUGGUACGUACAGAGGGAGGCAAGCUGGCGACAGUGAGCGGAUCUCUUAAAGCGUAUCGUAGUCCGGGAUCGCAGUCUGCAACUCGACUGCGUGAAAGUCGGAAUCGCUAGUAAUCGCAAAUCAGAAUGUUGCGGUGAAUACGUUYCCGGGCCUUGUACACACCCGCCCGGUCACACCAAUGGGAGUGGGUUGCAAAGAAAGGAUAGGGUAGCCUUAACCUUCCGGGAGGGGCGCUUAUAACACAUUGUGUGGAGUUCAUGACUGGGGUGAAGUCGUCACAAACUCUUCC